Molecule: ribosomal RNA, 502 nt
Filed under: uncultured bacterium
Lineage: Bacteria
Description: bacterial SSU rRNA
Rfam family: Bacterial small subunit ribosomal RNA
Source: RNAcentral
UUAUGGCUCAGGAUGAACGCUGGCGGCGUGCUUAAUACAUGCAAGUCGAACGAAGCACUUCAGCAGAUCCCUCGGGGUGAAGCCGGUGUGACUAGUGGCGGACGGGUGAGUAACGCGUGGGUAACCUGCCUUAUACAGGGGGAUAACAGCUGGAAACGACUGCUAAUACCCCAUAAGCGCACGGCACCGCAUGAUGCAGUGUGAAAAGAUUUAUCGGUAUAAGAUGGACCCGCGUCUGAUUAGUUAGUUGGCGGGGUAACGGCCCACCAAGACCGCGAUCAGUAGCCGACUUGAGAGAGUGAUCGGCCACAUUGGGACUGAGACACGGCCCAGACUCCUACGGGAGGCAGCAGUAGGGAAUAUUGCACAAUGGGGGAAACCCUGAUGCAGCGAACCGCCGCGUGAGUGAUUGAAGUAUUUCGGUAUGUAAAGCUCUAUCAGCAGGGAAGAUAAUGACGGUACCUGACUAAGAAGCCCCGGCUAACUACGUGCCAGCCGCAGC